GGCAGAAAACGAAGGCGAGCGGGCGGGCUGAGCCGGGCAGGGCUCUCUCCGUCCCCGAGGAGCCGCAGCCCGUCCCGGCGCUGCCUGCCCCGGGGCACAAGCUCUCAAAAUGUCGGUGUCGGCCCAGGGCUCCCCGGGGCGGCGGGGGUCGGGCGCCGAGGUGCGGGGCGGCUCGGGCCGGCCCCGGGGGCCGCGCCGCGCCGGGGCGGGCUGGGGAGGGAAGGGGGGGGCCCGCCCGGCUCCGAAACCGUUAGGUUGUCUUCUACGGCUCCUUUCCCCUUUCUCUUCCUGUCCAAAUAUUUUUAAAUUUACGCGCCUUAAAUAACAGUCUGAUUUUAUUUAGUUAGUUUCCUCCGCCGCCGCUUCGCCCCGGCCCCCCCCCGCCGCCAGGGGCCUGGGGCGGCCGCAGCGCAGCGCCCGGCGCCGCCACCGCCACCUUCCCGCCGCCGCUCCGCUCCUCCCCGGCCGUUUUUUUCUUUUUAUUUUCCCCUCUUUCGCACUUCUUUCUACCCCCUUAUUUUUUAUUUCCCCUUCCCUCGUUUUUUUUUUCCUUUUUCCCCUUUCCCUCCCUCUCCCCGAGGACUCGGCACCAGCCCCGACGCCUCUCCGCCCCCGAGCCGCGAAGUGCAUUGAGAACAUUUAUGCUGCUGGUGUGCACACCUAUGUUGCAGAGGUCAUGGAGGGGUGCAGGAGGCAGCAUGGCCAAGGCUGGCUGAAGAACUGAGCACGCAAACACUGGCAGGAAUGGGCAAGGUUCCCUGGGACGUGUGAGUCUUCUAUAAAACUGUGCAGCCAUUCACAGUCACAGAGAAAAUUUUUCAUCUGUGGCACCACCUUGUGGACAUUACUAGAUGAAAUGAAAAGCUGAUUAGUGUCGACAACAGCAUCUAAAACAGAACAAUCAUUUGGAAAAAAUAAUCACGUUUUGCUAAAGCAGAGUAAAAUAAAUUAGAAAUUUGAUUCCUAAAAAUCCAGCUAUGAAAUAAAAUAUAUAAAAAAUA
Molecule: long non-coding RNA, 1001 nt
Organism: Anas platyrhynchos (mallard)
Lineage: Eukaryota; Metazoa; Chordata; Aves; Anseriformes; Anatidae
Source: RefSeq, a predicted model, not a curated record